RNAcentral lists this transfer RNA (76 nucleotides) under Puniceicoccales bacterium. RNAcentral describes it as "tRNA-Gly". It matches the Rfam family "tRNA". Rfam says of the family: Transfer RNA (tRNA) molecules are approximately 80 nucleotides in length. Their secondary structure includes four short double-helical elements and three loops (D, anti-codon, and T loops). Lineage: Bacteria; Pseudomonadati; Verrucomicrobiota; Opitutia; Puniceicoccales. The record is from RNAcentral.
GCGAGCGUAACUCAAUUGUCAGAGUGCCACCUUGCCAAGGUGGAUGUUGAGGGUUCGAACCCCUUCGCUCGCACCA